This 69-nucleotide transfer RNA is filed under the name Ictidomys tridecemlineatus (thirteen-lined ground squirrel). RNAcentral describes it as "Spermophilus tridecemlineatus (thirteen-lined ground squirrel) tRNA". It matches the Rfam family "tRNA". Rfam says of the family: Transfer RNA (tRNA) molecules are approximately 80 nucleotides in length. Their secondary structure includes four short double-helical elements and three loops (D, anti-codon, and T loops). Further hydrogen bonds mediate the characteristic L-shaped molecular structure. tRNAs have two regions of fundamental functional importance: the anti-codon, which is responsible for specific mRNA codon recognition, and the 3' end, to which the tRNAs corresponding amino acid is attached (by aminoacyl-tRNA synthetases). tRNAs cope with the degeneracy of the genetic code in two manners: having more than one tRNA (with a specific anti-codon) for a particular amino acid; and 'wobble' base-pairing, i.e. permitting non-standard base-pairing at the 3rd anti-codon position. The record is from Rfam by way of RNAcentral. Lineage: Eukaryota; Metazoa; Chordata; Mammalia; Rodentia; Sciuridae.
GGGUUUGUGGCUCAGCGGUAGAGUGCUCGCCUAGCAUGUGUGAGGCCCUGGGUUUGAUCCUCAGCACCA